UAUAGUUGACUUUCCAGACCUUAUCUGCUGAUGUCAUGACCUCCUUUGGUUUCAUCAUGAAUGGCUACUCAGGGGAUUCUUUGACGUGAAGGGGGUCACCCCUACAUGGCUAAACCUAAUUUAUGGAUUAGUCUGGUAAGAAUAUUGUAUCUAUGUUCCAGAGUUUAUCUUUCUAAGUAAACACGGGACGUUAUACAUCUGUUUUACUCUCCUUAAGCACGACAAACCUAAUUUCCAACCCUGAACAUGAUAUAUAUUUUUUGAACGGAAAAUUAUAGGGGAGGCUCGACAGUACAAAUUUAGUAAAACAAGUACCCAACUUUGUACUAAACCAGAGACAAGUAAUAUGGAUCGGAGGGAGUAGUAAUAUUUACAAGAGAGGGCUGUACAGGGGGAGGGGGAGAAGAACUGCUAAUCUGGUAAGCCUGCUCAUCCUUCAUUCUGUAAGAGAGAAGGAAAGGGUCUCUUUUAAUGAGAAAAGGCCAGGAGGCUAAACUAGGAGGAAUAUUAUGAAAAAAUUCUAGCAUUUCUUUGUUUCCAAAUGUUCCAAGCUGCUACAAGAAAGGCUUCUCUGGAGAGAGGUUUGCUGAGAGGAAGGAGCAAGGUAAAGAUUAAUUGAGGCCCAGCAGCCCCUGCUGAAGGAGCAGUUCCAGAAAAUAUGAUCACGAGUUUCAAGGGUUCUCGAGGAGAAGGGAAUGGCCAUGUUGAUGGGGUCGUCUUUCAAGCGUGUCUUGAGUAUUUAGUCUGUGUCAUUAAAGAGCAAACAGGCAAAAGCUUUGAGUUUGGCUGAGCAUUUGGAUUUCCACAUCCACGAGAAGAUGCUGUAUAUUUGGUGGCAUAAUAGCCAUUCCCCAAUUAGUCAGCUCUACAGCAGCUAUAUGAAUUACCCACAUAACCAUUGGUAAGAAGUAACUAACUUGGUUUAAAACAUAAAUCUAGUAUCUAUUCCCUGUCUGCCUGCCUGCCUGCCUGCCUGGAUUUGAUAGAAUCAACCAGGCACAGCAUGUUCCAUGGUCAUCGCCAGUGGUAACCAAUCAAUCACUAUGGUGGGAACCACAAACCUUGGUUCUUGUCUCUGACGUCACUGAUUGGUGCAUUUCUGUGAGGGCACUCACUAUGUGCAUCCCUCAGCCAUCUAUUAAAAGAGCUAACAUUCAGAAAGUUCGUUGGAUUGCUCCACUUGAUUGCGGCCAACGAUUAAAUCCCACUUUGGUGGAGCAGUGGAGCCCCACGAUUGGUGGUAGUGAUUUCCUUGCUGUCGUACUGGGAGCACCUGUCCACUGAUUAUACGUACUAGUUGAUUUUUUGGAAGAUUUUAAUGUAUAUCCAGGGAUGGUCCAGCUAGGACUCGAGAGUGCUAAUCUAGUAAUCUUACUUGGAAGUUGGAACUGAGAUCUGGUGAUCAUGUCAACUUUAAUAGCAUCGAGAUGGGAGAUGAUUUAAUUAGAUAGAGGACUUUCUAAUCUACACUCCAGGGUUGGGAAAUGCAACACUUCGGAUAAGCAUGAAGUAGUGGCUGAAUAGGAAGGCCACAUUGCUCUAGCUCCAUAUUCUUAAAGGCAUAGCUUUAGAGGUGGAGUGUGCUUCUUCAGCUUUUUGUAAAGGCUUAGGCUACCUUUAUAUUUUAUGGUAGAUUCAGCCCACAUGAUCAGUUCCUGAGUUUUAUAUUUGUUGGUAAAUAUCUCUUGCUGAAAGCACUGCUCGGCGAGGAAGGACCUAUUAUACGCGCUAUUGGAUAAAACUGAAAGGUCCAAUGUCAAUGGAAUUAUGGGACAGCUAGUGAAAAUCGAAUGACAAAUCAAAGAGAUAAUGAGGUAGAAUCUGCAUCUAGUGAAAAGAGAUAUGAAGUUUACGAGUAUAGAUGCCCUGGAAUUGGAUGUUGAUCAUAGCUUCUGCAGUGCCUUUUGUAAAUGCCCUCCUUUUUACAAUGUAGGUUUUAACAUUGUUCUCGUGAGUAAAUAACUGCUUUUGAUAACAGUGGGCCUGGGAGUGGAAUGGGAGUUUCUCUAGAGAGAGAAUGUAGAUGAAAUUGACAUGUAGCGAGGCAACAACGACCUCAUUGUGAAUCCCAGCAAUUGAGCACUCGACACAGUAAAGUUUAGUUUACUCUCAUUGUCCUUUCUCCAAUAAUGCAUUGUACGCUGGCCAAUUUAAAAUGCCACCUUGCAGAUUCUAGGUCCUUGCACUAUGAUUUACCUGGCAAAGCACCUGCAGACAUCAGCAUCCUCACGAGCAUAUAAGGCAACCCUUCCCUCUCCUCUUGUCCACAGCCCCUACCGACUAUGGAAGGUACAUGGCUCGAGCAUCUACAUGGCUCUUGAGAGCGGAAGCAGGGUCGGGAUGAACCGCAAAGCUGAGCGCUUCAGCUUUGCGGUGCCUCUCCUGACCUCCCAGGUGGUCGCCUGAGGUACGCAAGAAUCGGCAAGUCACAAAACGGCAAUGGUGAACUCCGGCAGGAGUCCACCCCCCUUUUAUCCUUUUCUCUCCAUUCAGUUGUAUCAGGUGGAAGUCGAAUAAUCGGAAGUCUCUGUGUGUGAUGAAUCAAUGGAUGCUUCAAGUCCAUGUUUUGUUUUUCUCUUCCUUUAUUAUGUGUACUCUGGAAACACUACUAUAAAUGGCUGAUGUUCAUCUAGCAAAACCACUUUAUGGUGUCUUGUUUGAUUCUCUUGUGUCGUCUUUACCGGUUAACUUGUUAUAUAUGCUGCUUCGAAACA
This is a long non-coding RNA of Triticum dicoccoides, 2714 nucleotides long. RefSeq lists it as uncharacterized. Lineage: Eukaryota; Viridiplantae; Streptophyta; Magnoliopsida; Poales; Poaceae. The record is from RefSeq and is a predicted model, not a curated record. The transcript is spliced from 2 exons.